GUGGUGUAUGUUUGGAUGGUGGAAAGGGUGGAAGUUAAAACCAUAGGAUUACAGGGGUCGAUUUCAAACCAGUAAAGACACAAAGAUUAAAUAAAAGCAAACCCUCCUAUAUAGAUUAUGCCAUGGACAAAUAAAUAGAAUUUCUUUAUAUAAGAAGGAGUAGAUGAUAUAAGACAGGUAUUAAAUUUUCAUAUCACAAUGAAAACAAAUAGUA
RNAcentral lists this long non-coding RNA (214 nucleotides) under Mytilus galloprovincialis (Mediterranean mussel). The record is from RNAcentral. Lineage: Eukaryota; Metazoa; Mollusca; Bivalvia; Mytilida; Mytilidae.